UAAGACCGAGCACCGAGACGAGCCUUUAUGGCGAAGUCACUGAUACCACGCUUCCAGGAAAAGCUCCUAAGCUUCAGCUUACGCAGACCGUACCGUAAACCGACACAGGUGGGUAGGAUGAGAAUUCUCAGGCGCUUGAGAGAACUCGGGUGAAGGAACUAGGCAACAUGGCACCGUAACUUCGGGAGAAGGUGCACCCUUUUUGGUGGCUCGUGCGAGCUAUAGCUGAAGAGGGUCGCAGUAACCAGGCCGCUGCGACUGUUUAUCAAAAACACAGCACUCUGCAAACACGAAAGUGGACGUAUAGGGUGUGACGCCUGCCCGGUGCUGGAAGGUUAAUUGAUGGGGUCAGCCGCAAGGCGAAGCUCUUGAUCGAAGCCCCAGUAAACGGCGGCCGUAACUAUAACGGUCCUAAGGUAGCGAAAUUCCUUGUCGGGUAAGUUCCGACCUGCACGAAUGGCGUAACGACAGCGGCGCUGUCUCCACCCGAGACUCAGUGAAAUUGAAAUCGCUGUGAAGAUGCAGCGUUCCCGUGGCAAGACGGAAAGACCCCGUGAACCUUUACUAUAGCUUUACACUGAACGUUGAGUUCGUCUGUGUAGGAUAGGUGGGAGGCUAUGAAACUGUGGCGCUAGCUGCAGUGGAGCCAUCCUUGAAAUACCACCCUGUCGUGCUUGACGUUCUAACCUGGGCCCAUUAUCUGGGUCGGGGACCGUGUAUGGUGGGUAGUUUGACUGGGGCGGUCUCCUCCUAAAGAGUAACGGAGGAGCUCGAAGGUACGCUCAGCGCGGUCGGACAUCGCGCACUGUGUGCAAAGGCAUAAGCGUGCUUGACUGCAAGAUCGACGGAUCAAGCAGGUAGGAAACUAGGACUUAGUGAUCCGGUGGUUCUGUAUGGAAGGGCCAUCGCUCAACGGAUAAAAGGUACUCCGGGGAUAACAGGCUGAUACCGCCCAAGAGUUCAUAUCGACGGCGGUGUUUGGCACCUCGAUGUCGGCUCAUCACAUCCUGGGGCUGUAGUCGGUCCCAAGGGUAUGGCUGUUCGCCAUUUAAAGUGGUACGCGAGCUGGGUUCAGAACGUCGUGAGACAGUUCGGUCCCUAUCUGCCAUGGGCGUUGGAGAUUUGAGAGGGGCUGCUCCUAGUACGAGAGGACCGGAGUGGACGAACCUCUGGUGUUCCGGUUGUCACGCCAGUGGCAUUGCCGGGUAGCUAUGUUCGGAAGCGAUAACCGCUGAAAGCAUCUAAGCGGGAAGCGCGCCUCAAGAUGAGAUCUCCCGGGGCACAAGCCCCCUGAAGGAACCAUGUAGACUACGUGGUUGAUAGGUCAGGUGUGUAAGUACAGCAAUGUAUUGAGCUAACUGAUACUAAUGAUCCGAGAGGCUUGACCAU
This 1389-nucleotide ribosomal RNA is filed under the name Stenotrophomonas sp. Sm0041. RNAcentral describes it as "partial 23S ribosomal RNA". It matches the Rfam family "Bacterial large subunit ribosomal RNA", at positions 1551 to 2925 of the family's 2925-position model. The record is from RNAcentral. Lineage: Bacteria; Pseudomonadati; Pseudomonadota; Gammaproteobacteria; Lysobacterales; Lysobacteraceae.